UGUAAGUAUAAUCAUAAAUUUUCGUGUCCAACUUUGAUCAUCCGUCUUAUUUGAAAGUUUGUUAUGAUUAGUAUUUUAUCGUUAUUAGAUGAUAAAAUAUAAAUAGUACUUUAUGCACGACUCAUAUUUUUUAACUUUUCAAAAAAAAACCUUUUAAAUAAGACGGACGAUCAAAAUUGCACACGAAAAAUCAUGGCUGUAUUUUAA
Molecule: non-coding RNA, 207 nt
Organism: Oryza glumipatula
Lineage: Eukaryota; Viridiplantae; Streptophyta; Magnoliopsida; Poales; Poaceae
Source: Rfam